This is a long non-coding RNA of Lolium perenne, 1273 nucleotides long. RefSeq lists it as uncharacterized. The record is from RefSeq and is a predicted model, not a curated record. Lineage: Eukaryota; Viridiplantae; Streptophyta; Magnoliopsida; Poales; Poaceae.
UGUUUAGAAACUUAUACGGUCCAUCCCCUGAGUUAGAAAAAAAACUUAUGUCUCCUCCCACCCCGAUCAGAUCUGAGACUGAAAACAUAGUGCCGCCGCCGGUUCUCAUCUCCAUAAGGUGGUGCUCCUCUCGCGGCCGUCCUCUCUUGCCGCCAGCAUCCCUAUUUCACACCACCUCACACCACCGGCGUUCAUGCCUCCACCCUCUGCGAUCUGCACCCUCUCUCUCUCUCUCUCCACGGGUCACUGCGCUCUGGCGGUUUCUAGCGACGAAUUGCGCCUCUCCUUCGUAUCGUACAUCCUGCAGUAUUGCUGGUUCACACAUGCCGACGUCCACAGGUUUUCCGAAUCUGAGCUUAAAUAUCUGUUAGACUGUUAUUUGUAUAUGAAGUUCUAUUACUGCUUCAAAAUCCAAAUUAUGGAAGAAGGUACCAAACCUCCACCAGAUUUAUCCCCACGUCGUGAACUCUAUGCCAGAUGCAUUGCAGGUUGUGCUACAACUUUUUGAUUAAAUUUGAUUGUGCAUCAAUUAUUAGCUGAUAAUGAUGAAGUACACCAAUAAUCGGCAAGAUUUGUAACUCUCGUCUCCAAGCGAGAUUCUAUUCGAGGUAGAUCGACAUGCUUCACAUACUUAAUCGCUCCUUUUCUACCACACACCUCUGUAUUUGUUAAGAACUAUAACUAUUAGCACCAAAUUUCAAGGCAUGUUUGCAUGUUGUUUCGUAUUUUCCUGCAGUGUGCAAACAAGAAGCUAGACUAUUGAAGUCAAGAGAUGGUGCUCCUUUGUCAUGGGUACUGCCCCUAAUGGUAAAAUAUUUCGGUUGUGCUACUCCUGUGUUAAUACUUGGUGGUUGAAGGUGUGUAUAAUUGAAUAUCUAUGCAGUUCCAUCAAUUUUACGAAUGAUCCACUUGUCUUGUUUAGCAAGUGCAGGAUAUUUUGAUUGUUUUAUAGGAGCCAAUGGACGUUAAACGUUUCUCUGCUUGAGGAGAACGAAAAUUGACAAGGGUACCGGUUCCGAUGAUUUUUGAAGCCAGACAAUGAAAAAUAUCAUUAUCAUGGAAGUCUAAGGAGGAGUUAAGAUGGCGACUUGCGAGCUCAUGUACUGUUAGCUGCAUUCAAAAGCUUAUAAGUAGAUAGAUUCGAACAAUAGUUCCACGAGGUAUCUAGGAUUUAAGGGAUUUCGCCCAGUUGAGUUUGAUUUCUUUCUGUAAUAAUACAACUCGAUUGUAAACUACAGCUGAUCGGAAGAAAUAAAGAUAUAUUUUUCUAACA